This 324-nucleotide ribosomal RNA is filed under the name Granofilosea sp. Its description in RNAcentral is "SSU rRNA". The stretch from base 105 to 324 matches the Rfam family "Eukaryotic small subunit ribosomal RNA", at positions 735 to 955 of the family's 1831-position model. Lineage: Eukaryota; Cercozoa. The record is from RNAcentral.
GAUUUCUGGUACGGUAGGCCUGGUCCGCCGGCGUCAAGCCGUGUGAGUACCGGCGCCUGCCUGCCAUCCUUCUGGGGAGCGUGUCUACCCUUCACUGGGCCGGGCACGUCACCUAGAUCGUUUACUUUGAAAAAAUUAGAGUGUUUAAAGCAGGCAGAUUGCUCUGAAUACAUUAGCAUGGAAUAAUAAGAUAGGACUUUGGUUCUAUUUUGUUGGUUUCUAGGACUGAAGUAAUGAUUGAUAGGGAUAGUUGGGGGUGCUAGUAUUCAACGGCCAGAGGUGAAAUUCUUGGAUUCGUUGAAGACUAACUUAUGCGAAAGCAUU